This is a small nucleolar RNA of Tachyglossus aculeatus (Australian echidna), 138 nucleotides long. The record is from RefSeq and is a predicted model, not a curated record. Lineage: Eukaryota; Metazoa; Chordata; Mammalia; Monotremata; Tachyglossidae.
UCCCUCUCAGGAUUGCACCUGGAGAGUUUCCAGUACUCUAUCAGUCUCGGCCACAGGAGGGAGAGUCCAACAAAGACAUACCCAUUUCAUUCCUAGCUUGUCCAGUGGCUAGCGAGUGGAAGGAAAUCUGCUACAAGA